GUCACUUUGCCGGAGUGGUUAACGGGAUCGCCUGCUAUUUAUGGCUGCCAGCGGUUGGGCUUUGCCCGCGAGUGUUCGAAUCGCUCAGGUGACG
Molecule: transfer RNA, 94 nt
Filed under: Trametes pubescens
Lineage: Eukaryota; Fungi; Basidiomycota; Agaricomycetes; Polyporales; Polyporaceae
Description: tRNA-Ser
Rfam family: tRNA
About the family: Transfer RNA (tRNA) molecules are approximately 80 nucleotides in length. Their secondary structure includes four short double-helical elements and three loops (D, anti-codon, and T loops).
Source: RNAcentral